GCCCUCGUAGUGAAAUGGAUAUCAUACCUGCCUUCGGAGCAGGGGGUCCGGGUUCGAAUCCUGGCGAGGGCA
RNAcentral lists this transfer RNA (72 nucleotides) under bacterium. RNAcentral describes it as "tRNA-Arg". It matches the Rfam family "tRNA". Rfam says of the family: Transfer RNA (tRNA) molecules are approximately 80 nucleotides in length. Their secondary structure includes four short double-helical elements and three loops (D, anti-codon, and T loops). The record is from RNAcentral.